RNAcentral lists this ribosomal RNA (240 nucleotides) under uncultured bacterium. Its description in RNAcentral is "partial 16S ribosomal RNA". It matches the Rfam family "Bacterial small subunit ribosomal RNA", at positions 537 to 776 of the family's 1533-position model. The record is from RNAcentral.
AGCGUUGUUCGGAGUUACUGGGCGUAAAGCGUGCGUAGGCGGUGUCUUAAGUUUGUUGUGAAAUCUCCCGGCUUAACCGGGAGGGUGCGGCGGAUACUGAGAUGCUGGAGUGCCGGAGAGGUAAGCGGAAUUCCUGGUGUAGCGGUGAAAUGCGUAGAUAUCAGGAGGAACACCUGCGGUGUAGACGGCUUACUGGACGGUAACUGACGCUGAGGCACGAAAGCGUGGGUAGCAAACAGG